UGAUUUACACUAUUCUGUUUUUAUUUUUGCUGUUGAUAUUAUACCUUCAUAGAUAUUUUUGCUAUUUUGACUUUUAUUGUUUAGUACUAAUUUUAUUAAUGUUUUUCUUAUUGUGAUAAAUGACUUCUGUUGGUAGUAAAGAUCAGCCACCUUGUCGACCUCACCUAAUGGGCCUGUAGUAUCUCAUUCUAUCUCACACAUCACUAUUGUGGUGUUGAUUAGCGGCACCACCACCACCGCUGCAGCCUCGUUUGCACCUUUUGCCACCGUUCCGAUCUACUUCAUUGCAUUCACCCACUUACCCACCACUGUCCUCCUCUGAUGAGUCAGACCCCUCUACUCCAACCCCGCUGAGACAGGAUACCUCUGUACUAGUAUAGAUUGAGUCAAAGGGAGACUCAUAAAUUGUUUUUUACAUGCUGCCCAUGACACGUAUGACAUAUCACAUAGAUCAUCAAGUAUGUAUGAUGAUUCAUGUCUCUCUUGGAAGCAGAUCCCGUUAGCGACUCGUGACAUGUGAUUCCAGGAGUUUGAGAGGUCCAUCCACUGUCUACCGGAGCAUCACAGGUUGAUCCACUACAUUUUUUUUAGGUUCAGGGCAGGCAUCAGCUAGGUGAUAUGUUCACCACAUCUCAUAGGAAAGAGUAGUGACCCAUCUAGGCAGGGGAGGAGGUUUGUGUUCAGUUGACUAGGGCCCGAGCCUCUUCUAAUUAUUAGAGGAAGAGAUAAUCCAAGCAGCAGAACAAGAGGAAUAAGAGGUUCAGGGGUGCUACACUCAACUUUGAAGGCUCGAUCCCCCAAACGGAGCACUACCAGAAGCUGAGGCUGAGAAGCUUGGCAGACAAUCCACCGCUGUAGAGUUGCACGUCGGGAUGCAUCAGCGCCAAGUGACGCAAUAGUGGAUAUCUGUCUUCUUUCGGAGUACGAGCAUAUUCGAGACACACAUAGAGGGAGAGAGAGAGAGAUCCUGAUAGCCGUCAACAGCAGCGGUAGCCAGUUUACAACUGCACAUCUGAUUUUGAGAUUUGAAGGUUGGCGAUGGGAAAUAAGAAGGGGAGAGUGUACAGCCCAGGGGCAAAUAAAAUUGCAUUUGAGGCCGAGCUUUCUAGUGCUCCUUUGGGCGAUUCGAGGUCAUUAUAUCAAACAAUGAGGAGCUUGCCUGACACAUCAAUGUUAUGAGCAGUGAGAUCCGUAAGUUGCGUGAGAGCGACCAGAGAGCCGAAGACGCUUUGGCACAACUAACAAAAUAUAUUGUAGAUGAUCAUGACAAGUGGCCCUUGAGAUUUAUGGUCGAGGAUGAGGGAGAGGAUGCUGCUGAGCCUGAUGAUGAUGCUUUCGUAGGGGUUUAUGUACUUUUUUUCU
Phalaenopsis equestris is the source of this 1362-nucleotide long non-coding RNA. RefSeq lists it as uncharacterized. The record is from RefSeq and is a predicted model, not a curated record. Lineage: Eukaryota; Viridiplantae; Streptophyta; Magnoliopsida; Asparagales; Orchidaceae. The transcript is spliced from 4 exons.